This 487-nucleotide ribosomal RNA is filed under the name Vigna unguiculata subsp. unguiculata (cowpea). Its description in RNAcentral is "eukaryotic LSU rRNA". The stretch from base 323 to 487 matches the Rfam family "Eukaryotic large subunit ribosomal RNA", at positions 1 to 165 of the family's 3401-position model. Lineage: Eukaryota; Viridiplantae; Streptophyta; Magnoliopsida; Fabales; Fabaceae. The record is from RNAcentral.
UAUGCGAUUACUGUUGUGAAUUGCAGAAUCCCGUGAACCAUCGAGUCUUUGAACGCAAGUUGCGCCUGAAGCCAUUAGGUUGAGGGCACGCCUGCCUGGGUGUCACACAUUGUCACCCCAAUGCAAAUGUGCAUUGAGGUGAAAGUUGGCUUCCCGCGAGGCAUUCCUCGUGGUUGGUUCAAAACGAAGUUAAUCGCGAAGUCCCUCGUCAUAAAUGGUGGAUGAGUAAAUCUCGAGACCAAUCGUGACUGUGGUGCUUUGGGGAUGUAAUUGGUUGGCUCUGUUGUGUUUUGUGUUCAUGUUGAAGAAGACGCUUUUAUCGAGACCUCAGGUCAGGCGGGGCUACCCGCUGAGUUUAAGCAUAUCAAUAAGCGGAGGAAAAGAAACUAACAAGGAUUCCCCUAGUAACGGCGAGCGAACCGGGAACAGCCCAUCAUGAGAAUCGAUCGCCUUCGGUGUUCGAAUUGUAGUCUGGAGAAAGCGUCAA